UGUGAAUAGCAAGCAGGCACAUGAGUAAA
This 29-nucleotide non-coding RNA is filed under the name Mus musculus (house mouse). Lineage: Eukaryota; Metazoa; Chordata; Mammalia; Rodentia; Muridae. The record is from RNAcentral.